This 770-nucleotide ribosomal RNA is filed under the name uncultured bacterium. RNAcentral's name for it is "bacterial SSU rRNA". It matches the Rfam family "Bacterial small subunit ribosomal RNA", at positions 8 to 775 of the family's 1533-position model. The record is from RNAcentral.
AGAGUUUGAUCCUGGCUCAGAUUGAACGCUGGCGGCGUGCUUUACACAUGCAAGUCGAACGGGGUGGGGGGCAACUCCCAUUCAGUGGCGAACGGGUGAGUAAUGCAUCGGAACGUAUCCCGUAGUGGGGGACAACGCCGCGAAAGCGGCGCUAAUACCGCAUAUGCUCUACGGAGGAAAGUGGGGGACCUGAAAGGGCCUCACGCUAUGGGAGCGGCCGAUGUCCGAUUAGCUAGUUGGUGGGGUAAUGGCCCACCAAGGCGACGAUCGGUAGCUGGUCUGAGAGGAUGAUCAGCCACACUGGGACUGAGGCACGGCCCAGACUCCUACGGGAGGCAGCAGUGGGGAAUUUUGGACAAUGGGGGCAACCCUGAUCCAGCCAUGCCGCGUGCGGGAAGAAGGCCUUCGGGUUGUAAACCGCUUUUAGUCGGGAAGAAAAGGCACGUUCUAAUACGGCGUGUUCUUGACGGUACCGGCGGAAUAAGCACCGGCUAACUACGUGCCAGCAGUCGCGGUAAUACGUAGGGUGCGAGCGUUAAUCGGAAUUACUGGGCGUAAAGCGUGCGCAGGCGGUUCGUUAAGUCUGAUGUGAAAGCCCCGGGCUCAACCUGGGAAUGGCAUUGGAAACUGGCGAGCUGGAGUGCGGCAGAGGGGGGUGGAAUUCCGCGUGUAGCAGUGAAAUGCGUAGAGAUGCGGAGGAACACCGAUGGCGAAGGCAGCCCCCUGGGCCGACACUGACGCUCAGGCACGAAAGCGUGGGGAGCAAACAG